RNAcentral lists this long non-coding RNA (1197 nucleotides) under Marmota monax (woodchuck). Lineage: Eukaryota; Metazoa; Chordata; Mammalia; Rodentia; Sciuridae. The record is from RNAcentral.
GUUUGCUAAUCUCUUAAUUUUUUUUUGUUCCUGGCCCAGCCCAGCCCCUUUUGUGGCUACAAAAGCUUCCUCCUAAAGGCCAGGCCCCCCAAAACCAGAAGAAGCAACUCUAUUCAAUGAACAAGUUCACCCAUACUGCAAUACCUGGCUGAAGAAGAUAAAUUAGCAAUCUCUGGGUCAUAUGAUGCACACCCUUUUUCACAGAGGGUGAGACAGACUCAGAAAAAGGCAUGAGUUGCCCAAAGCACCACAUGAGUUGCUGACAGACCCAGGAUUCAGUCAUCUUGGUUUGCUCCUCACUACACAAAGGUGUAUUCACAGAAAACAAAACUAAGUCAAUCAAUCCUUCUUUUGCAGAAUUCAGUCAGCAUGGGUGAUUGCUUUUUCUAAAGAGCUCUUCAGUUUUACUGGUUCUAUCUACAUUUGUUUAGCACUUACAAUAUGCAGGCACUGUACUCAGCACCUUACAUUUUACCUAGGAAAUGGGAUUCCCAUUUCACACACAAGGCACAAAGAAACUGAACAAGGGUGCAACCAUCAAGAAUCUCCACUCAAGCACCAUGGAAAGUGAGCAAUUUGCUGCCAAAGCUUCGGGUAAAAUGUCAUGUCAAAGAGAGAGGCCUGAGGGUCCACUUGGAAGCCAUAAUCCUUGUGAUUUAAGUUUUUGUCAUCCCAAUGCAAACCUCUCAUUUCUCCAUCACUUUCUUUUUCACCCCAGCCAAUAACCGGACUAAGGAAAGGCUAAGACCUGUCACCCUGGCACAGCCCCCUGGAGCCACUGGCACAGUGCAGAACCACCAGUACCCUCCUAGAGAGCCCCCCUAGAUGAGACCUGAUUACUAUGUCUUUCUCCUCCUUCCCUCCCCAGCACAGAGUCCACCAGGGAUUUCUAAGACAAUUCAGUUCUAAGCUUGCCUGAAGGGUGCUGCUGGCAGAGACCAAGGCCCAGCCUGGCAGAUUCUUAGCAGGUUUUGGCAUGGAAGACCUGCUCUACUGUGUACACAGGGAGAGAGCCAAUCCCAGUGCUGGGGUAAAACCCUAGAGAGGGGUCAGCUGGCAUCUAGGAAGGAGCCUGAAUGCCAAGUUCAGUCCUACCCAUGGACCCCAAGGAACCUGCCCUGUGCCAGGACCCAAGCUCCAAUGACCUUACUACCAACUUCCUCUCCUAAACUAUUGAGUUUUUCAUUUAAAAAAAAA